RNAcentral lists this ribosomal RNA (497 nucleotides) under uncultured bacterium. Its description in RNAcentral is "partial 16S ribosomal RNA". It matches the Rfam family "Bacterial small subunit ribosomal RNA", at positions 28 to 507 of the family's 1533-position model. The record is from RNAcentral.
GAUGAACGCUGGCGGCGUGCCUAAUACAUGCAAGUCGAGCGAACAGACGAGAAGCUUGCUUCUCUGACGUUAGCGGCGGACGGGUGAGUAACACGUGGAUAACCUACCUAUAAGACUGGGAUAACUUCGGGAAACCGGAGCUAAUACCGGAUAAUAUAUUGAACCGCAUGGUUCAAUAGUGAAAGACGGUUUUGCUGUCACUUAUAGAUGGAUCCGCGCUGCAUUAGCUAGUUGGUAAGGUAACGGCUUACCAAGGCAACGAUGCAUAGCCGACCUGAGAGGGUGAUCGGCCACACUGGAACUGAGACACGGUCCAGACUCCUACGGGAGGCAGCAGUAGGGAAUCUUCCGCAAUGGGCGAAAGCCUGACGGAGCAACGCCGCGUGAGUGAUGAAGGUCUUCGGAUCGUAAAACUCUGUUAUUAGGGAAGAACAAAUGUGUAAGUAACUAUGCACAUCUUGACGGUACCUAAUCAGAAAGCCACGGCUAACUACGUG